GGUUAACCGGAGAGGGUUUGGAAACUGGGGAAUUGACUGGAAAAAAAGAAAGUGGAAUCCCGUGUAGCGGUGAAAUGCUAAAAAUUUGGGAGAAAACCCAGUGGCAAAGGCGACUCUCUGGCCUGUAACUGACCCUGAGGCGCGAAAGCGUGGGGAGCGAACAGGAUUAGAUACCCUGGUAGCCCCCGCCGUAAACGAUGAGUGCUAGGUGUUAGGGGUUCCAAUCCCCUAAUGCCCAAGCUAAACCCUUAAACCCUCCCCCUGGGGAGGACCGGCCCCAGGAUGAAACUCCAAAGAAUUGGCGGGGGCCCCGACCAACCGGGGAAGAUGGGGUUUUAUUUCAAACAAACGCGAAAAACUUACCACGUCUUGGAUCCUCCUGACCCCUAAGAUAUUGGUCUUCCUCCUCGGGGGAAAAGACACAUGAGGUGUGUGGGUGUUCCCUCUCGUGUCGUGAUAUGGUGGUAUAUCUCCCACCACGAGCGCACCCCGUGAUUUUAUGUGCCAUUAUUGAUUUGGGCUCUCUAGGGAGACUGCCGGCGAAACACAGGAAGAAGGGGGAGAUGACAACACAUCAUCGCGCCCUCUUACGACCUGUGCUACACUUGUGCUACAAUGGAUAGAAAAGGG
RNAcentral lists this ribosomal RNA (630 nucleotides) under uncultured bacterium. RNAcentral's name for it is "bacterial SSU rRNA". It matches the Rfam family "Bacterial small subunit ribosomal RNA", at positions 607 to 1244 of the family's 1533-position model. The record is from RNAcentral.